RNAcentral lists this ribosomal RNA (500 nucleotides) under uncultured bacterium. RNAcentral's name for it is "bacterial SSU rRNA". It matches the Rfam family "Bacterial small subunit ribosomal RNA", at positions 28 to 486 of the family's 1533-position model. The record is from RNAcentral.
GACGAACGCUGGCGGCGUGCCUAAUACAUGCAAGUCGAACGCACUCUCGUUUAGAUUGAAGGAGCUUGCUCCUGAUUGAUAAACAUUUGAGUGAGUGGCGGACGGGUGAGUAACACGUGGGUAACCUGCCCUAAAGUGGGGGAUAACAUUUGGAAACAGAUGCUAAUACCGCAUAAAACCUAACACCGCAUGGUGUAGGGUUGAAAGAUGGUUUCGGCUAUCACUUUAGGAUGGACCCGCGGUGCAUUAGUUAGUUGGUGAGGUAAAGGCUCACCAAGACCGUGAUGCAUAGCCGACCUGAGAGGGUAAUCGGCCACACUGGGACUGAGACACGGCCCAGACUCCUACGGGAGGCAGCAGUAGGGAAUCUUCCACAAUGGACGAAAGUCUGAUGGAGCAACGCCGCGUGAGUGAAGAAGGUUUUCGGAUCGUAAAACUCUGUUGUUGGAGAAGGAAUGUAUCUGAUAGUAACUGAUCAGGUAGUGACGGUAUCCAACCAG